UACGGGGGGAGCAAGCGUUGUUCGGAAUCACUGGGCGUAAAGCGCACGUAGGCGGACUCUUAAGUCAGGGGUGAAAUCCUGGAGCUCAACUCCAGAACUGCCUUUGAUACUGAGAGCCUUGAGUCCGGAAGAGGUAAGUGGAACUGCGAGUGUAGAGGUGAAAUUCGUAGAUAUUCGCAAGAACACCAGUGGCGAAGGCGGCUUACUGGUCCGGUACUGACGCUGAGGUGCGAAAGCGUGGGGAGCAAACAGG
Molecule: ribosomal RNA, 253 nt
Filed under: uncultured bacterium
Lineage: Bacteria
Description: partial 16S ribosomal RNA
Rfam family: Bacterial small subunit ribosomal RNA
Source: RNAcentral